GUUUAUGAUGAUGAUGAGAAUGCUGCUGCUGCUGAUGGACCAAAGGAAUUUACUAUCAGAGGGUCAUCCCUGGUGGAUUAUUCUGACACUGAUGAAACCGAUGAGGAUUGUUUAAAUGACCAGCCAUUGGGUCCACACUGUGAUGAAGUUGUUCCAAAGUUGAGAAGGACAAAAAGCAUUCUGAUGAAAAAAGUUCCAGAUUUUUCUGAUGAUCUCUACGAUUCAAG
Molecule: long non-coding RNA, 227 nt
Organism: Cheilinus undulatus (humphead wrasse)
Lineage: Eukaryota; Metazoa; Chordata; Actinopteri; Labriformes; Labridae
Exons: 3
Source: RefSeq, a predicted model, not a curated record